RNAcentral lists this ribosomal RNA (253 nucleotides) under uncultured bacterium. RNAcentral's name for it is "partial 16S ribosomal RNA". It matches the Rfam family "Bacterial small subunit ribosomal RNA", at positions 524 to 776 of the family's 1533-position model. The record is from RNAcentral.
UACGGAGGGUGCGAGCGUUAAUCGGAAUUACUGGGCGUAAAGGGUGCGUAGGUGGUUAGAUAAGUUAUCUGUGAAAUUCCUGGGCUCAACCUGGGCAGGUCAGAUGAUACUGUGUAACUCGAGUAUGGGAGAGGGUAGUGGAAUUUCCGGUGUAGCGGUGAAAUGCGUAGAGAUCGGAAGGAACACCAGUGGCGAAGGCGGCUACCUGGCCUAAUACUGACACUGAGGCACGAAAGCGUGGGGAGCAAACAGG